Molecule: ribosomal RNA, 305 nt
Filed under: uncultured bacterium
Lineage: Bacteria
Description: bacterial SSU rRNA
Rfam family: Bacterial small subunit ribosomal RNA
Source: RNAcentral
CGCACCCUACGGGGCGCAGCAGUGGGGAAUAUUGCACAAUGGGGGAAACCCUGAUGCAGCGACGCCGCGUGAGCGAUGAAGUAUUUCGGUAUGUAAAGCUCUAUCAGCAGGGAAAAAAAUGACGGUACCUGACUAAGAAGCCCCGGCUAACUACGUGCCAGCAGCCGCGGUAAUACGUAGGGGGCAAGCGUUAUCCGGAUUUACUGGGUGUAAAGGGAGCGUAGACGGUCCUGCAAGCCAGAUGUGAAAGCCCGGGGCUCAACCCCGGGACUGCAUUUGGAACUGUAAGGAUAGAGAGUCGGAGG